AUGUAUAAGUAUAAACGACUUGCUCGUGAAACCGCGAACGGCUCAUUAUAACAGCUGUAAUUUACUUGAUCUUGACAAUCCUACUUGGAUAACUGAGGUAAUUCUUGAGCUAAUACAUGCACCAAAGCUCUGACCUUACGGGAAGAGUGCAUUUAUUAGAACAAAACCAAGCGGCUUCGGUCGUUUUUUGUUGACUCAGAAUAACUUAGCUGAUCGCAUGGUCUUGUACCGGCGACGUGUCUUUCAAGCAUCUGCCUUAUCAACUUUCGAUGGUAGUGUAUCUGACUACCAUGGUGGUGACGGGUAACGGAGGAUAAGGGUUCGACUCCGGAGAAGGGGCCUGAGAAAUGGCCACUACGUCUAAGGAUGGCAGCAGGCGCGCAAAUUACCCACUCUCAGUGCGAGGAGGUAGUGACGAGAAAUAACGAGAUCGUUCUCUAUGAGGCCGAUCAUCGGAAUGGGUACAAUCUAAACCCUUUAACGAGUAUCUAUGAGAGGGCAAGUCUGGUGCCAGCAGCCGCGGUAAUUCCAGCUCUCAAAAUGCAUAGAAUCAUUGCUGCGGUUAAAAAGCUCGUAGUUGGAUCUGUGCCGGGGAUUUGGUGCAUUCUCUGAAUGUCUACUGACUUCCCGGCUUUCGGCUGGUUUUCCCUCUGUGGCCUUUACUGGUUGCAUUGGGUGGCUGGCGCGUUUACUUUGAAUAAAUCAGAGUGCUUAACACAGGCGUUUCGCUUGAAUGUUCGUGCAUGGAAUAAUAGAAGAGGAUUUCGGUUCUAUUUUAUUGGUUUUCUGGACUGAGAUAAUGGUUAACAGAGACAAACGGGGGCAUUCGUAUUGCUGCGUGAGAGGUGAAAUUCUUGGACCGCAGCAAGACGAACUACAGCGAAAGCAUUUGCCAAGAAUGUCUUCAUUAAUCAAGAACGAAAGUCAGAGGUUCGAAGGCGAUCAGAUACCGCCCUAGUUCUGACCGUAAACGAUGCCAACUAGCGAUCUGCCGAUGGAUAUUUUGCCUUGGUAGGGAGCUUCCCGGAAACGAAAGUCUUCCGGUUCCGGGGGAAGUAUGGUUGCAAAGCUGAAACUUAAAGGAAUUGACGGAAGGGCACCACCAGGAGUGGAGCUUGCGGCUUAAUUUGACUCAACACGGGGAAACUCACCCGGCCCGGACACCGUAAGGAUUGACAGAUUGAUAGCUUUUUCAUGAUUCGGUGGAUGGUGGUGCAUGGCCGUUCUUAGUUCGUGGAGCGAUUUGUCUGGUUUAUUCCGAUAACGAGCGAGACUCUAGCCUACUAAAUAGUCGGUGCGUUGCUUUUGCGUAUCCAACUUCUUAGAGGGAUUUUCGGUGUACAGCCGCACGAAAUUGAGCAAUAACAGGUCUGUGAUGCCCUUAGAUGUCCGGGGCUGCACGCGUGCUACACUGGCGAAAUCAGCGUGCUUUUCCUCGCUCGAAAGGGCUUGGUAAACCAUUGAAAAUUUGCCGUGAUUGGGAUCGGAAAUUGCAAUUAUUUUCCGUGAACGAGGAAUUCCAAGUAAGUGCGAGUCAUCAACUCGCGUUGAUUACGUCCCUGCCCUUUGUACACACCGCCCGUCGCUGCCCGGGACUGAGCCAUUUCGAGAAAACUGGGGAUCGCUGGUUGGGAGUGUUUCGGCAUUCCCUUUCGGUGAGAACCAAUUUAAUCGCAGUGGCUUGAACCGGGC
RNAcentral lists this ribosomal RNA (1692 nucleotides) under Cephalenchus hexalineatus. RNAcentral describes it as "SSU rRNA". It matches the Rfam family "Eukaryotic small subunit ribosomal RNA". The record is from RNAcentral. Lineage: Eukaryota; Metazoa; Nematoda; Chromadorea; Rhabditida; Tylenchidae.